RNAcentral lists this transfer RNA (72 nucleotides) under Camelus bactrianus (Bactrian camel). It matches the Rfam family "tRNA". Rfam says of the family: Transfer RNA (tRNA) molecules are approximately 80 nucleotides in length. Lineage: Eukaryota; Metazoa; Chordata; Mammalia; Artiodactyla; Camelidae. The record is from Rfam by way of RNAcentral. RNAcentral also lists the same sequence under 1 other name.
GUGGGUAUGGCUCAGUGGUAGAGUGCAUGGUUAGCAUGCAUGAGGUCCUGGGUUCAAUCCCCAGUUCCUCCA